This 707-nucleotide ribosomal RNA is filed under the name uncultured Russula. Its description in RNAcentral is "eukaryotic LSU rRNA". The stretch from base 275 to 428 matches the Rfam family "5.8S ribosomal RNA". The record is from RNAcentral. Lineage: Eukaryota; Fungi; Basidiomycota; Agaricomycetes; Russulales; Russulaceae.
CUUGGUCAUUUAGAGGAAGUAAAAGUCGUAACAAGGUUUCCGUAGGUGAACCUGCGGAAGGAUCAUUAUCGUACAAUGGGGGUACCACGGCUGUCGCUGACUUUUUCGGUCGUGCACGCCAGAGUGCUCUCACCUUACAAAUAUCCAUCUCACCCCUUUGUGCAUCACCGCGUGGGUCCCCCUUCCUCCGAGGGGGGUCCUCACGUUUUUAACAUUAAACACCCAUUCGAACGUAUCGUAGAAUGUUCUUUGCGCGAUCACGCGCGAUCAAUACAACUUUCAACAACGGAUCUCUUGGCUCUCGCAUCGAUGAAGAACGCAGCGAAAUGCGAUACGUAAUGUGAAUUGCAGAAUUCAGUGAAUCAUCGAAUCUUUGAACGCACCUUGCGCCCCUUGGUAUUCCGAGGGGCACACCCGUUUGAGUGUCGUGAACAUCCUUCAACCUUUCUUGGUUUCUCGAUCAAGGAAGGCUUAGACUUUGGGGGUUUUUCAUUGCUGGCCUCCCUUGAAGCCAGCUCCUCCUAAAUGUAUUAGUGGGGUCUGCUUUGCCGAUCCUUGACGUGAUAAGAUGCUUCUACGUCUUGGGUUUCGCACUGUCGCUUUGGACCCUGCUUCUAACCGUCUUGCAUUCAGGACAGAGUCAUGAACCUUGACCUCAAAUCGGGUGAGACUACCCGCUGAACUUAAGCAUAUCAAUAAGCGGAGGA